This 1964-nucleotide long non-coding RNA is filed under the name Musa acuminata (dwarf banana). RNAcentral describes it as "long non-coding RNA (MACU_LNC004417)". Lineage: Eukaryota; Viridiplantae; Streptophyta; Magnoliopsida; Zingiberales; Musaceae. The record is from RNAcentral.
CUUGAUCGCCCAGAACAUAAGCUCUGCCCUGGCAGCAGUGGGUUACCGUGGCCCCGUGUCCAUCUCCGCCUUCGGCGACGCGAACAAUAUAACGCCGACCGUGCUGCAGGCGCUCUCCAGCACUGGCAUCGCCCUAAAUCACGUUCCCUCCGGUAAAAGAUCCGAUCGCGAAUCCCGAUACCGCCGUUCUCCGAUUGUGGAUGAUUCUUGUUUCUUGCUUCCUUUUCUCGUCAGAUUCUCUGUUUCUCGGGCGCAAUUUGGUUAGGGCAUCCAUUUCUCGUUCGAAUAAUUUUAGUGAUCGGUGUGUCCGUCAUUGCUUUGCAUAUAUGCUUGUUCUCCGAAUGGCGUCGGCUUGUCGGGCAUUUUCUUCGUGCUUGUUCUGUUGGCGCGCAUUUUCCGGUAUGCUUUUGUGUGUAGAGGUGCUUGAAUCUUGCAGGAUAUACUUAGGAGACUUAAAAAUAUCUUGGAUCCGACCUUUUGCUUCUUCCAAGUACAUGAAGUGCUCUAUUUAGCUUGUGCAACAUUUAGAGUAGCUGAUAAAUUGUUUAAAUUCUUUUUCUUGUGGAUAUAAUCGGCAGCUUAGCUUUUUUUUGGCAAAGAUCGGGUCUAUGAAACAAACCCAUGUUUAGAUGGAAAUUUUGUUUUAAAUUAUGGCUCAAGGAAGUUAUUUUUAUGGUCCUUGUUUUAUUGCAAACAAGUAUUUUUUGACUGAUAAUCAUCCCAGACCAUAUGUUUACUUAAGCUGUUUGUGUUUGUCAUACAAUAUCUAGCAUCUUCAUGAUUGUCAUACAAUAUCUAGCAUCUUCUUUCUGAGUUUAUAUACAACAUGUGCGUGUGGAUUUCCAAAACAUCUUAUUUUUGCCAGUAAUGAUCUCUACUCCAUUCAUGAUUGUAAAGAUUUACUCGUGCUUACAUGUGGCCCUAUCGAGAUAUGCAUGAUGAGAAAAAGAAAAAGAGAUAUGUCCCUCCAGCCUAUAUGCUUACCUAAGGUUAAAAAAUUACAGUUGAGAUCCUCUGUAUACAUAAUUUCUAGAAUUUAGUAAAAGGAAAUCAUGCUGCGUUAGUAUAUGGAAUUUGUGCAAAUUUAUGGUAAAAGAGUUCGGGAAUUUGGGUAGAGUAUGAUACUCAGCAACCAUUCCGUAUGUGUAAGGAGGGGUGAAGAGUGAUAAACGAUCAUUUAGAAGUAAUUUCUUUUGUUUUUAAAUUUCUUUGCCAUAACUAGUCAUUAUGUUGACAAUAAUGGUUAUUGGAAAUUCUUAUGCCGUCCGAUAUCGGCUGCAUGUUUUGGUCUAUGAUAAUUUGAAUAAGCUUGCAGUUUGAAUUGUAAUUGCAUAAGGUUGAUUGCUAACCAUAGUGGGUCUCUGAAGGGUUUGUUCUAAGAUAGACUUUUUUUGGUGCCUCUAAUUCUAUUUGAAGCUAAUUUUUGAGGUUUGAUGGUGUCAUAUAGUUGCAAUUAUGCUGCUGUUUUGUUUGGUCUGUCAUGAUGAAUUAUGCAAAUCAAAUGUGGGUACUGAGGUUCAAUUAUUUAAGCCAAAAUUAAGUGAAAGCUCGCCAUUUUGGUUCAAGAACACGUAGAAUAUAAAGUGCUAAGUGGUUGAUGUUUUAAAUUAUUAGUAUACUGUGUAGUUUGCUUAGAGAUGGCUUCUUUUAAUUUUUGAAUGUCUUACCAUCUUCUAUCUAAUUUUAUGUAGAUUUGUUUAUAAUUUGUUUAGGUAAAUGUUAUGCAGGUAUUAAAGAUGCUAGUGAUAAGAAGAUUUUGGUCGAUAUGCUAUUUUGGGCAGUUGAUAAUCCUGCACCUGCCAACUACUUAUUAAUAUCUGGUGAUCGUGACUUCUCAAACGCCCUUCAUCAACUUAGAUUAAGGAGAUACAACAUUCUUCUUGCACAGCCUCCUAAUGUAUCACAAGCCCUUGUUGCUGCUGCUAAGAGUGUCUGGAACUGGAAGGACCUUGUGGCUGGAGGAA